RNAcentral lists this long non-coding RNA (627 nucleotides) under Brassica rapa (field mustard). RNAcentral describes it as "long non-coding RNA (BRAP_LNC006748)". The record is from RNAcentral. Lineage: Eukaryota; Viridiplantae; Streptophyta; Magnoliopsida; Brassicales; Brassicaceae.
AAACACAUCCAUAACAGGAGAUACAAGAGAUAAUCCCGACAGACACAAAUGCGGCAACAACAUCUCCACCUGCUCACUCCUCUUGUCUUAUAAAAAUAGCUUACAUGUCCAACGUAAACAUGCCAAUGCUAUUGUCUUCUUUUGAAAAAUACAUAAAUUCGUUUAAAACUCAUUAAAGCCAAAAUAGUCAGAACUAACAAUCAUUUUAUAGUUAUUUCUAUAAGUCUUCAUGUAUUUGUUUUAAAUGUCCGGUAAGAGCAACAUAUUUAAAAAUAAAAUAAAAACAUAUAACAAACAUAAUAAGGAUAAUAAAAAUUAUUAAUUAAUGCACACAACUUAUACAGCUAAACUGGAGAAAAAAUAUCCAGAAACAAAAGGUACUUUCAAAAACUUUAAUAUAAUUUAUGUACUUUCAACAGUACAAGAAACAAAUUAAAAAGACAAACAAACAAUAAGUCUCAGUGAUAUAUCAAACAACAACACAAACUAUAUCAAUCACAUUACUAACAUAGUUUAGUCUUUCAUAAGUAGAGAACAAUGCAUACACAGUUCAUCAUCAUAACUCUAACCCUAUAACAAUAAAAAAAAACUUGAAAAACAACUCAAAACGUAAAAUUUACAACUACA